AGUGAACGCUGGCGGCGUGCCUAACACAUGCAAGUCGUGCGCGAAAGGGAGCAAUCCUGAGUAAAGCGGCGAACGGGUGAGUAACACGUGGUUAACCUGCCUGGAUGUGGGGGAUACCCCGGGGAAACUCGGGACAAUACCGCAUGAUGUCUCUCGGGCGUCGGCCCGGGAGAGCAAAGCCGGGGACCGCAAGGCCUGGCGCAUCCGGAGGGGACCGCGGCCGAUUAGCUAGUUGGCGGGGUAAUGGCCCACCAAGGCGACGAUCGGUAGCCGGCCUGAGAGGGUGAUCGGCCACACCGGAACUGAGACACGGUCCGGACUCCUACGGGAGGCAGCAGUGGGGAAUUUUGCGCAAUGGGCGAAAGUCUGACGCAGCAACGCCGCGUGGAGGAUGAAGGUGCUCUGCAUUGUAAACUCCUGUCGGCCGGGAAGAAUCGGCGGGGUGCUAAUCAGCCCCGUCUUGACUGUACCGGCAAAGGAAGCCCCCGGCUAACUCCGUGCCAGCAGCC
This 509-nucleotide ribosomal RNA is filed under the name uncultured bacterium. RNAcentral describes it as "bacterial SSU rRNA". It matches the Rfam family "Bacterial small subunit ribosomal RNA", at positions 28 to 516 of the family's 1533-position model. The record is from RNAcentral.